GUCGGUCGAUAUGGCUCUCUCGGAAGUGCUUGUGAGACUUGAGGGAGAAAAGAGGCCCCACUGGAAAAGCAACAGGGAGGAAGGAUCCUAGCUGUGUUCAUAAUGGGGUCGUUCUGGAAGGUGAUGUGGGCCUGGAGCAGGGGAGGUCAGGAGCCUGACACCCUCAGUGAGGUGGCAGAUGGGGUAGGGACCUGGAGACACAGCUGCACCCCAGGAGCUGGAUUCACACCAGAAAUGCCACCAUCAACUCAGGAAGUAUCAAACAGGUCGCGGUGAUGGAAGAUCCAGGUGUGAAUUGCAGCCUGCUCAUGAAAUUACCUGUGAGUGUUCCAAGAUGGAAUGGAGUCUGCAGCAGCUGGGCGAGUCAUACACAGUCCUUAUGGCGCCCGCACCAACACAGCUCUGACGCAUCUGCGCCUGUCAUGGCAA
Peromyscus maniculatus bairdii (prairie deer mouse) is the source of this 429-nucleotide long non-coding RNA. RefSeq lists it as uncharacterized. NCBI's taxonomy places the organism in Eukaryota, Metazoa, Chordata, Mammalia, Rodentia, Cricetidae. The record is from RefSeq and is a predicted model, not a curated record.